UGAUCUAUUAGCAAUUCGAUUUCAAUUCCCAGGAGCCUAAAAUCUUUUAUGCUUAAGAAUUGCAAAGUGAUUUCUUAGGAAAUUCCGAGGUUGCUUUUUUUUUUAUACACCCUGUAUGCCGAACUGUAGUGCGUGAAAUAUUGAUGGGGUGCAUAUAUUAGGAAAAGGAGACCUUUAGAAAUUGAAAUAACGUUUAAACAAAAGAUCGUCUGCACCUGGGAACAAUCUGCCAUGCAUACUGUACGUAGAUCGCAUGUUACGCACUCGUGGGCUUAGCAAAGUGCUCCAGGAUUCAAAUUAUAACAAUGGUUGAUUCCUAAAGGUCUCCUUUUUCUAAUAUAUGCAUCCAUCAAUAUUUCACGCACUACGGUUCAGCGUAUGUGCAAUUGAAAAGGCAUUCAAAUUUUAACAAUAUGCUUGAUUUCUAAAGGUCUCCUUUUUAGUGUGAAGUUUCUUCGAAACUUCACAGUAUUGUGAUGGUGGGGAAAAUUCAAACGAAACAGUCAGUCAGUCAGUCAUUCAGUCAUACAGUAAACUUUCCGGGGGGCGUGUACGA
This is a non-coding RNA of Paramuricea clavata, 556 nucleotides long. The record is from the annotation of a GenBank genome assembly. Lineage: Eukaryota; Metazoa; Cnidaria; Anthozoa; Malacalcyonacea; Plexauridae.